Rattus norvegicus (Norway rat) is the source of this 547-nucleotide non-coding RNA. The record is from RefSeq and is a predicted model, not a curated record. NCBI's taxonomy places the organism in Eukaryota, Metazoa, Chordata, Mammalia, Rodentia, Muridae.
CAGCUGGAUCUUCCACCAGGGCUGGGACCGGGCCAGGGCGCCCUGCGAAGAACAUCAUGACGUCAGAUGAGCAGCCAAUAGAAAGAGGGAGGAGACGGACGAGGAUCCGGAAAAGAGAGGAGACUGAACUUAGAAACAAAACAACAACAAACCAAAAAAACAAAGACAAGAACCUCUCCCCUGGGACUGGGAAGAUGGUUCAGCUGAUCAAGAUGCAGAACUCUCACCUCCUUCUCCAGCACCAUGUCUGCCUGAGUACUGUUGUGCUUUCCCACCAUGAUGAUAAUGGACUGAACCUCUGAACCUGUAAGCCAGCCCUAAUUACAUGUUGUCCUUCAUAAGAGUUGCCUUGGUCGGGGCUGGGGAUUUAGCUCAGUGGUAGAGCGCUUACCUAGGAAGCGCAAGGCCCUGGGUUCGGUCCCCAGCUCCGAAAAAAAAAGAGUUGCCUUGGUCAUGGUGUCUGUUCACAGCAGUAAAACCCUAACUAAGACAGACUGUAAUGUGGAGCCCUGAGAUGAAAUAAACUGUCUCCUCCCCCAAAUUCUUU